Molecule: ribosomal RNA, 446 nt
Filed under: uncultured bacterium
Lineage: Bacteria
Description: partial 16S ribosomal RNA
Rfam family: Bacterial small subunit ribosomal RNA
Source: RNAcentral
CCUACGGGAGGCAGCAGUCGAGAAUCAUUCACAAUGGGGGAAACCCUGAUGGUGCGACGCCGCGUGGGGGAAUGAAGGUCUUCGGAUGGUAAACCCCUGUCAUGUGGGAGCAAAUUAAAAAGAUAGUACCACAAGAGGAAGAGAAGGCUAACUCUGUGCCAGCAGCCGCGGUAAUACAGAGGUCUCAAGCGUUGUUCGGAAUCACUGGGCGUAAAGCGUGCGUAGGCUGUUUCGUAAGUCGUGUGUGAAAGGCGCGGGCUCAACCCGCGGACGGCACAUGAUACUGCGAGACUAGAGUAAUGGAGGGGGAACCGGAAUUCUCGGUGUAGCAGUGAAAUGCGUAGAUAUCGAGAGGAACACUCGUGGCGAAGGCGGGUUCCUGGACAUUAACUGACGCUGAGGCACGAAGGCCAGGGGAGCGAAAGGGAUUAGAUACCCUUGUAGUC